RNAcentral lists this long non-coding RNA (1177 nucleotides) under Marmota monax (woodchuck). The record is from RNAcentral. Lineage: Eukaryota; Metazoa; Chordata; Mammalia; Rodentia; Sciuridae.
AUAAAAUCACAAUACAACAGCUGUACUAGUGUAAAAACAGACAAACAGAUCAAUGGAACAGAAUUCAAAGAGGCCAUAAAUCAUACCUUAAUGAAUUUAAAAGAACAGAAAUUAUAUUCUGUCUUCUCUCAAACCAAAACAAAAUUAAACUAGAAAUCAAUAACAAAAAAAGCUAUGCAAUCAAAAAACGUGGUGAUUGAACAAUCUUUAAAAAUACAUGGAUCAAAGAAAAAAAUCUGGAGAAAUUUUGAAAUAUUUUGAGCUACAUGAAAAUGGACACCCAAAUAUCAAAAUUUGUGGGUCACAGAAGAAACAGUACUUAGAAAAUUUAUAGCAUAAAAUGCAUGUAUUGGUAAGAUUUAAAGAUCUUAAAAUCAAUAUCUAGGUAUCCAUCUUAGGAAAUAAGGAAAAAACAAAAUAAGCAGAGGUCAAGAACUAACAAAAAUUGGAGAAUCUGAAAGGGAAAUCAAUCAAUAAAAUGGAAAAUGAAAUCAUUAGGAAAAAUUUCUAAAACCUAAAGUUGGUUCUACACACACACAAAAAAAAUCAGAAUUAAUAAGCCUAUAGCCAGGCUAAGGAAAAAAGAAGUCACAAAUUACUAUUAUCAGAAAUGUCAGAGGAAAUAUUACUACAGAUCUUGUGGACAUUAAAUAGAUAAUCAGGUAUAUGAACCACUCUAUAUCCACAAAGUUGAUAAUAAAGAUGAAUUGAACCAAUUAUUUGAAAGAUAAAACAUGCCAAAACUCACAUUAAAAGACAACCUGAAUAGGUUUUUAUUUAUUAAAGAAAUUUGGGAGCUCAUAACCCACUUGAAUCAAAUUGUGAAAUAUGAUAUAUCAAGAACUAUGUAAUGUUUUGAACAGCCAACAAUAAAAAAUUAAAAAAAAAAAGAAAUUGAAUCAAUAUCUUCCAAAAUAGAAAGCAGUAUGCUCAGAUGGAUUCACUGGUUAACUCUGCCAAAAUUUAAGAGAGAAGUUAUUUCAUAUCUCUGCAAUCUCUACCAUAGGAUGUAAUAAAAAGGAACACUUUUCCACUUAUUCCAAGAAGCCAACAUCACCCUAAUAACAAAACCAUAUAAAGACAUUAUAAGAAAAAAUUCAUACCAAUAUCUCUCAUGAAUGCAGAGACAAAAUUCUCAAGAAAAUAUUGGUAAACCAAACCCAAAAAAAUAAUUACA